AUUGAACGCUGGCGGCAUGCCUAACACAUGCAAGUCGAACGGCAGCAUGAAUAGGGGUAACCUUAUUUGAUGGCGAGUGGCGGACGGGUGAGUAAUAUGUAGGAAUCUACCUAGAGGAGGGGGAUAACUUGGGGAAACCCAAGCUAAUACCUCAUAAGCCCUACGGGGGAAAGCAGGGGACCGCAAGGCCUUGCGCCUUAUGAUGAGCCUACAUCGGAUUAGCUAGUUGGUGGGGUAAAGGCCUACCAAGGCGACGAUCCGUAGCUGGUCUGGGAGGAUGAUCAGCCACACUGGGACUGAGACACGGCCCAGACUCCUACGGGAGGCAGCAGUGGGGAAUAUUGGACAAUGGGCGAAAGCCUGAUCCAGCAAUGCCGCGUGUGUGAAGAAGGCCUUAGGGUUGUAAAGCACUUUCAGUAGGGAGGAAGGGUGUAACGCUAAUAUCGUUGCACAUUGACGUUACCUACAGAAGAAGCACCGGCUAACUCUGUGCCAGCCGCCGCCGUAA
This 508-nucleotide ribosomal RNA is filed under the name uncultured bacterium. Its description in RNAcentral is "partial 16S ribosomal RNA". It matches the Rfam family "Bacterial small subunit ribosomal RNA", at positions 30 to 523 of the family's 1533-position model. The record is from RNAcentral.